UUAUAUUUAUAUUUAUAUUCAUAUUUAUAUAUUUAUAUUUAUAGUCGACUGUAUUAUCAAUAUACAAAUAAUGGAAGACAUGGUAGCACCUAAAAGUGCCGUUCAAAAAACGAUUUCUUACCUAAAACACGAUUCUUGUAAAGUUUACUUGUCAUAAAGUUGAAUUUUGUUUCGAUAUAGCAGUUUCGUAGCGUAAUCCACGCUCUUGUCGCGACGUUCAUAGCGAUACAUCUUUAGUCGCAGAUAUGUACGUAAACGAUGUGUAUAAGUUAUUCUAGAUACUAUAUAAACAAAUUUCGAUAUGCAUAAUAAUGAAAUAUUAAAACUUUCGGUUUAGUUCCUUCCUUUUGAUUCGUCUUUUAUGUCCGCGUUCCAUUCAACAAGUAUGCAACGUUAUGACGACGCACUAACACAUAUUUAAAUACGUGUGUGCGUCCAUCUCGCUUCUUUUACUAUCCACAAAAUUAGGCUUCCUUUGAUUAACUUGCUUUCAAUAUUAGAAGAUUAAAAUGUAAAUUUGAAAAUUUCUAAAUUAUCAAACUUUUAAAUUCUCUUCAAGAGAAGUCACACAGUGUACAUAUGGUAUCUAUGCAUAUGUUACAUCAUCUUUUAAUGUAACGCUUCGACAGAUAUGUCAGACUGUUCUAUCAAUGUAUUCGUAGUAAACAAACUUUGGAUAAGAUAUUGUCAUAAUUUUCUCUUUGCGCUGUUCGUUGUUUCUAUUAUAACCAUUCUGUGUCUUUUAGGCAUUUACAUAGAAAAUGUCAAGGGAACAAAUACUGUAAUAGUUUCGAAAGCAACGGAUCCUUCACAAAAACGACGACAUAACGUUUUCACGAUCUGUCACGGACAUUUCCACGUUGCUUCACAAACAAAUUUGCCUAUGUAUAUAGAGUGACACAAAUUAUUUUUCUGUAUAUAAGAUCGUUUGCUACUAAAAGGUAAGCUCGAAGACGCCAUACCCGUACAAAAUUGUACGUAUCAAUUAUUUGGAGGCGACUGUUAGAAAAGAGGGAAACAGCGAUAUCAAAGUAGAGUAAAUAUUUUCUGCGAUUUGAUGAUCGUUGAACAACAACGGCGACGACGACAACAAGAACAAGAACAAGAACAACAACAACAACAACAGCGACGACAGAAAGAAAGAAAGAAGUAAAGAGACGGUUGAGCUUUGUUGCUCUAUAAUAAACGAAUGUGCACGUGUCCGUUCCGAUCACACUUUCUCUCAUGAAAAUCGAGCAAAGAUGGUGUACGAAUCGCUUUAUACUCGAAACGAAGGUGGCUGCUUGGUUGGUUGGCGCGCGCGCAUUACUCUUACUACGUCUACGCUGGACUCGGAUGUUUCAAGAGUUACGAUAUUCCAGAGGGUGUGAGCAUGUGUACUCGCUACCACCCCGCUUAAACCGACGGAGAAAUGGAAAGUACUCGCAGUAUCGAAGAAGAUAGUAUUCGUAAUGGAAUAAAACUGGAAGGACGCUUUGGAUUCGCGGCGCGAAAAUAGGUGGUGGGAGGUGAAGGUUGCAAGAUAACGGCAAGCAACAAAGACGGGAGAACAGCGUCAAGGAGAGAAACUCCUGUUCCACGUCGGAGAGAAUAGAAGCGCACGAUCAACGAACAAGUUCAGACUUAGCGAGAACGAGAUACGACCUCGCGCCAUCGCGUAUAUAUACGAGUAGUUGUAACCGGGCGCAAGCUCGGCAUCAUUGAUUUAACGUGUAUCUAUGGUUUCCUGCAAACUCAAUUUACUAGCCUCUUUCUUCUUCUUAGAAUUAUUGCCGCAAACUUUAACAACUUUUCUAGCUUUCGCCUCCUAUUCGGUUUUCCAAACGAAUUUCUUUUUGUUCCACAUUUGAUUUUAUGUACAAGUACUUGUUG
RNAcentral lists this long non-coding RNA (1872 nucleotides) under Megachile rotundata (alfalfa leafcutting bee). RNAcentral's name for it is "uncharacterized LOC105661786, transcript variant X2". The record is from RNAcentral. Lineage: Eukaryota; Metazoa; Arthropoda; Insecta; Hymenoptera; Megachilidae.